Molecule: long non-coding RNA, 5010 nt
Filed under: Zea mays
Lineage: Eukaryota; Viridiplantae; Streptophyta; Magnoliopsida; Poales; Poaceae
Description: long non-coding RNA (ZMAY_LNC001544)
Source: RNAcentral
UUUCUUGUCUUCUCCGCGGUCCCCACCAGUUUGGCUUCGGCUCCGACCCGCGAGCGCCUGUCGAUGGGGGUUGGUUCGCCCAAGGUGAGCGCUCUCCCCCUUUCCCCCGCUCCUCACAUUCAACAUUGCACCCUCACACCAAAACCCUGAACCCACGAUGCAACUGUAAUGGAGAUUGAUUCGUUCUGGUGACUUCUCCAGAAUCACGCCGCCCCUGGUGCCAUUCGAAUCGCCCGCCACUGGUUAGUGUUGUGUACAACUUCAACUUUUGAGCUAAAUCACUUGGGCAACGGUAGCCUCAAGUUUGGGUGUUUAUAUUUAGUAUUUACCCAUCUUCGGUUGUACUACUUCGAUAGUUGACUUCUCCAGCAACGCUCAUUGACCAAAUAAUUGUGCACCUGCCUCAAAUGAAUUAGGGCAGCUGGAUCGAACCGGUAAGCAAAGAGUAAAGCGUAUUACUCCCUUCAUCCCAGAAAAUAGGGCGCGCGUGUUUUUAAAAAAUUCAACAUUUUAAAAUUCUGACCAACAAUUCAACAAAAAAAAAUAUUUUUCGUGUAUGCAUGUUAUAUACUUGACUUUGUAUUUAAAAAUACUUUAAUAUAAUGCUUAAUUUGUAUUUGUUUCACUUUGUAUUUAAAAAUACUUUAAUAUAAUACUUAUUUUAUAUUUGUUGAUGUCAUAUUUAAAAAAAAUAUUGGUCAAAGUUUCACUUUAAAGACUUUUUCAAAAAUGCCUUAUUUUUUGGGAUAUAGGGAGUAUUAUAUUUUAUGAAUUGCUGCUUCUGUACUCCUUGUUUUGGCUUUAGUCUGUGUUCUAUUUCAGUUCUAAACAGUCGGACUUCUAUCGCUUUUCGACACACAUUUAUUUUAUGGAACCAUCAACUAAUGUUUUCGUUUCUCAGCAUUCCAGCAAAUAUUGUUAUUCAAGAGUUUUGUAUUCACUAUUCAGAUGUUUGAUUGACAACUUGCUGAAACCACAUUUCAAUGGAAAGAACGAGAUCAGUCUAGAUCUACUUCGAUGAUGGUAAAUAUUUGUCCAAGCUUCUUGGGCCUUUAUGUCAUUUCUAGUGAACUUAUCAAUUGUCUGUCACCUUGUCCAUCAACGUAUCGGUUUGUUUGCCAGUGCUUCUUGGAGCGGAGAAUCCCCGAGAACCACUUCCUCACCCAAACAACAAAAUUGCACAUAUUCUGGUGGGUCGCAGACAAGAAUCACUUCUUCAUUUACAAUGGGAGGUAAAAACCUGCUCUUCACUACUCCCUAUUCAAUCCUCACCAAAAUCACUCCAGAAUCUCUCCACACCCUGUUCCUCCACCAUAAUCAACAAGAAUCACUCCACCAAAGAAUCAAGGAGUCUACCUCUACCAAACAGGCCCUGACUUUCGUAAUCAGAGUUUCGAUUAACAGGCCACUAAAACCACCUCAAAAAAGUCAUUAUAUUGGUUCCUGAUUUUUCCAGUGCUGAUUAUGACCACAUUGUUGUGUCUUAUGUCAAAAUUUCUUUAAAAAUUGGGUUGUAUAAUAACCCACACUGAAUCAAGUUGAAGAGUUUUUUUCUAUAUCUAAAGAUAGCUGAAUUUAAGGGCAAUUUUACGUGACCAAACAGGGAUCAAUCUCCUACUCAAACGGGAGAAACAGAGACAUGGAAACAUUCUAUCCAGCUGAAAUUUGCAUGUAGAAGGGUUGUACAUUUUCAGACUCAGAACUUGCUGCCAAUAACCUUGCAAUCCUUAAUUGUACAAAUCUUUUAUAGCAAAUUCUUGAACGUUUGAAGACGAGUGACAAAUUAGCUGAGUUGUGUUUUGACACAAAAUAUAAACAUUAGACUUAUAUAGAGCAAGUCAAAAUGAAAGCACUGAGACCUUACAAUCAUCAAGUUACAUACAAAUUUAGAAUUAAAAUAUGGCAGAACAGAAACUGUAAAAUUUAUAUUUUUAUAUAGGUAAAGUCAAAAUUCCUGUAGUAUGAAACCUGAAGUUUGAAGUAGUGAUUUGUUGGAGAUUUGUUUUUGUCUCCCAAUGUUUCUUGCUAUAGUUUCAUUUGCCAUAUCAUUGCAUCCUUGUUUCAACUAGCAUAUAGUUCGUGCUAGCGCUACGAUCCCAGAGAGGGAAGUGGUCGACGGCAGCGGCAACGACACGAGGAGAGGGGUUGACGCGAGGAGAGGGGUUGACGGUGGCGAGGACGUGGGAGAGGAGAGGACCGCUAGGGGGUAGGGGCAAGGCCGUGGGGUUGUGGGGGGAGGGAGAGAGAUAAGAGAUGAUCCAAAUAAUAUUAUUUAUUAGAUUUAAGCAAGAGAGAGGAGGUUAUCCAGUGAUUUUAAUCGUUGGUUUUGAUGACGUGUUAAGUCUGGGUGCAAUUUGUUUGGUGGAUUUAGUGGAGGUUAUGGGUGUGGGAGUAAUUUGGUUGUGUGUGUUUUGCAAAGUUAAAACUGGUGGAUUAUAUAAUGAUAUAGAUGAAAUACAGAGGCAUGGUACCAACUUGAACUAUUCAGAUAGAUACCCCCUCCGCCCCAGUGUAUAAGGUAUAACCAUAUCUGGUUCAAAUACCAAGAAAUGUACUUAGUUGUCUUUAUAUCAUUGUAUCGAUGUAUAUAUGCAUAGAGAGAUCAUGUGUUAUAUUGUAGGAUAAGAACAUCAAAUAGUUACGCAUUAUAUCGAGUAGCUUCAUAGCCACAUAGGCGCAUGGGCUAUUGGCUCGUUAGGAUUGUUAUAGAUUGAUUGAUAUUAUAUUAGGCAAGGAGAUUCGGUGAUGGUCAUACUUCUAUAAACCAACCCUAGUUCCUUGCAUAUGUAUGUACUCCUGCAUAUUGGCCUCUAAACCAAUCAAUCAAUCUACCGAUUUCCCAUGCGCGCAAUACCCUUUUCUAUGGUAUCAUACGCCUAGGUUUUCUUGCUCUGUCCUAGCUCUCGCAUGCCCCCCCUGGUUGUGCAUCCCGCUCGAGGAUCCUUUCCUCAUUGCGUCUAUGUCGAGGAGACGAGGACUCCCAUCUCGCACGCCUAGUUUUCGUCGGCCGCCGCAGCUUCCGGCGCCCUCGAUGACGCCUCCUGCGCCCACGUGACUGCCCUCGAUGAACAACACCUGUACCACCGGGGCCGAGCGCAUCCUCGUCGCCGACUUGGAGUGCCAACUGCCAACAAGCCACCUGCACCGGCGUGGAAGCGUGCCACACCGCCCGUGAUGCUGCUCUUCACCUGUACCACCGGGGCCGAGCGCAUCCUCGUCGCCGACUUGGAGUGCCAACUGCCAACAAGCCACCUUCACCGGCGCGGAAGCGUGCCACAGCGCCCGUGAUGCUGCUCUUCAACGCGCCCAGGCCGCUGUUCAUAUUUCUUUUACAUAUUUUUUGUACAGAAAUUAGUUAGUAUUAUCGGUUCCUAACAGUGUGAUGGUAGAUUAUUUUAUGUUAUUUCAAGAGAACAAAAACCCUAUUUGUUUGUGACAUGUGAAAGAAUCCUCUAGCGUCGAAGCUAGUUUGUGGGAAGCUGACAGAAAGCUGCUAACAACAGUUAAAAUAUGAUGAACAUUAAUAUUCUCUUACCUUGGCCUAGAUAUAUUCAUAUAUACAAUCAAACUAAGCAUAAUAAGGCCUCUUUGGAACAAAUAAAUUUCACAUGACUUUUACAAUCAGUUCAUUUUCACAAGAAAAAACACAGGAAACAGGAUAGAAUCCUGCAUUCCAAAGUGGGCCUAAACCAGAUUAUAGAAUGAUAUAUGCUAGCUCUGGAAAUGGUAGUCCCUCAAUUGUAUUUGUCAAAGCAUCAUCAUUACCGAUCCCUUUCUAACUUGAGUGGGCUGUAAUGUCUUUUUUGUUUCUUACUUUCUUAAUCUCCCCAUACUUGCAUUACUUAACUAGUACCUAGUGUAAUGGCUUGCAUUUUCUAUGACUAAGUAUAUAUUAUAUAAGAUAUGCUAAACAUCUAACCUCCUUGUGGAUUAAAUAAUUGUUACAGCACAUUGCCUACAACUACAAUUCCUCUAAACAGGCAGGAGAACUGCAAUUUUGAGUUAGUGAUAGAGAUGAAUGUACAGAAUCUUACUUAAGGCUGGCAUUGUAUUAUGCAAGAAGUGCAAAUUAAAAUCCUAACUAGGUGAUUCUGUUCCUCCUUUGUUUGUUAACUAGCAGUUAACUUCUCUUCAUAAGUUGUUGAAACGCUAUGGAAAUUGUCACAUAGUUUAUAGUUAUACUACAAACCUAGCUGAUUCUGACCUUCUAUUUUAAGAUACCCCUGUAUGAGUAACGUUUAUCCUACUUUGUUGGGCAGCACAUAUAAGGAAAUUUCUCAUUUUCUUUAAUCUUCAUGUGUUUUACGCUUGAGGAUUUUGCCUAUUUGGUGCGAAACCAAACAGUCCUUUUCCACUAUGUAUCUUCAAGCGGAAGGCGAUCAGCUAGCUUGUGAUUCUCUUUAGCAAAAGGUGGACAAAGAAAAGAAAAAGGCAAAUGAAAAGUAGCACUAAGGCCAACAUAACUUUAGCCUGCCCAUGAAUAUGCAAACGGUUCAUCUAAAAAAUUUCUGAAAAGAAAUAAAUCGAAAGAAUAAAAGUGCAUCAUCAACAAUUAAUUUGCAUCUCAAGCAUAUACAGUAACAAAAUAACAGCUAAAAAAAUCUGAAAUUUCUUGUAUGGUUCCGAAGAGCUACUGACAGGUGCAGUAUUUCACAUUCUUGCCUCAUUUAUUUUGUAGACAAAGAUCAACCAUGACUCACUUAUACAAAAAAAGCCGAGCUACAUGCAUGUACAGAUAAAGACAGCAACUUUUAAAUGAAAGGAGGUAAACUCCUAGGAUGUACUUUCUCUAGUCUAUACAUUAUGCUGUAAUAUAGAUUCAUUUUUUCCCUUUUUUCAUGUACACUGGUGAACAGUUAUCAGUAUUGAUCUCUGUUUCAUCAUAAGAAUGUACCUACGUAAAACACACCUCCACAUAGCCUUCAAAUGAAUCUGUGAAGAAAUAUUGUAUUUUUUAAGGCUUCAUUGACUCAGCUUUCUGCUAUUUCUCUGUUCCCUGCAUGCUGAAAC